This is a long non-coding RNA of Vitis vinifera (wine grape), 1195 nucleotides long. RefSeq lists it as uncharacterized. The record is from RefSeq and is a predicted model, not a curated record. Lineage: Eukaryota; Viridiplantae; Streptophyta; Magnoliopsida; Vitales; Vitaceae. The transcript has 2 exons.
GUCUGGGUCAUCCUCAUCCCCUACAGUCUCCCCUUUUGAACUUUCCAGUAGAAUACAAAUUCUGUGGCCCCGCUACUGGCCAAAAACCCACCACCACAUCUUAGUGAGAGCUCCUUGUAUCUCUCUGGCUCACACCAAAAUCUAGUAUUGCAGAUACUCUGUUUGUUUGAUGGGCAAGACAAUGAGAUCAGCUGGUGGUAUGAGAGCCUGAUACAUGGAGGGAUAGUAUACAAAAGUAUGAACACUCACACCCAAUACAAUUUCUCAUGGAGAUAACCUCAACCAGUUCCUUGGAAUAUCCCAAACAUAUCCAUCAACACGGCUUCACCAUGGGCCUCCACACACAGAUUUUUUCCACCUCAGCCCAAAACCACCGAUUUCAACAGUAGUUUUUGAAAACCACGAACUCCUCUUCCUCUCUAUAUAAACCCCUUCUUCAUACCUUGGCAUCACCACAAAGCUGUUUUCCAACAAUAAACAAGUCUUGUAGAAAUGUCUGCAAUGGUGGAGCUGUGUGUGAAUGAGCUUGCAAAGCUCAAAGAAAUGGUCCAAGUCCGGGCCAGGAAGCCAUUCAGGUCUGAAGCAAAAUCCAAACCCACUAGUGAAUUGGGCAGAGAAGGAGAAUUGAAGGAGAAGCUAGAGAAGGAAAGCACACUUUCAGAAGCAACUGUGUGUUUGCUCAUGGACCGUUUUGCACCUUGAUGGUAUUGUGUAUGUAACAACAAUUAUAAAUAUGAAGGAGUUUUGACUUUAUAUUCGUUCAGAAAUGUAUGUUUUUGUAGUUUAUAAGUGAUGCUGUUUGUUUAUAGAAAGGGGUGCCUCAAGGAAUCAUACACUUCAUUUUUGAUAUGCCAAACCCAUGAUUGUUUUUCCUUUCCAUGCAAAAUCAGGGAAAUUUCAAAUUCAAUCUUAAGCUUCUGAUAUGAUCUUUACAACAGCAGAAGACAGAACCAAAUGGAUCUUGGAAGCCCAUGGCUGGAAAUGUAUAGGCCUCUGUUUCUGCUGGAAAUUUCUCUAUCAAGGGAGAAGGCCAAACAAAUAAAAUAAAAAUAAGAAAAAUGGGGGAACUUAAAAGACUCAAUUGUAACUUAUCUUCAUUAGUACCUCAAAAGAAGAGAACUGAAUUGUAAUUUCUCUUACAUGAUUGCCUCAGAAAUGAAAAAUAAAGGAAAGGAAAAGUCUUCUACAUUCCAAA